Molecule: ribosomal RNA, 269 nt
Filed under: uncultured prokaryote
Description: partial 16S ribosomal RNA
Rfam family: Bacterial small subunit ribosomal RNA
Source: RNAcentral
UACGUAGGUGGCGAGCGUUGUCCGGAUUUACUGGGCGUAAAGGGAGCGUAGGCGGACUUUUAAGUGAGAUGUGAAAUACCCGGGCUCAACUUGGGUGCUGCAUUUCAAACUGGAAGUCUAGAGUGCAGGAGAGGAGAAUGGAAUUCCUAGUGUAGCGGUGAAAUGCGUAGAGAUUAGGAAGAACACCAGUGGCGAAGGCGAUUCUCUGGACUGUAACUGACGCUGAGGCUCGAAAGCGUGGGGAGCAAACAGGAUUAGAUACCCCCGUA